Molecule: ribosomal RNA, 425 nt
Filed under: uncultured bacterium
Lineage: Bacteria
Description: partial 16S ribosomal RNA
Rfam family: Bacterial small subunit ribosomal RNA
Source: RNAcentral
GUGGGGAAUCUUGCGCAAUGGGCGAAAGCCUGACGCAGCCAUGCCGCGUGAAUGAUGAAGGUCUUAGGAUUGUAAAAUUCUUUCACCGGGGACGAUAAUGACGGUACCCGGAGAAGAAGCUCCGGCUAACUUCGUGCCAGCAGCCGCGGUAAUACGAAGGGGGCUAGCGUUGCUCGGAAUUACUGGGCGUAAAGGGCGCGUAGGCGGACAGCUUAGUCAGAGGUGAAAGCCCAGGGCUCAACCUUGGAAUUGCCUUUGAUACUGGCUGUCUUGAGUUUGGGAGAGGUGAGUGGAACUCCGAGUGUAGAGGUGAAAUUCGUAGAUAUUCGGAAGAACACCAGUGGCGAAGGCGACUCACUGGCCCAAUACUGACGCUGAGGCACGAAAGCGUGGGGAGCAAACAGGAUUAGAAACCCUGGUAGUCC